Osmerus eperlanus (European smelt) is the source of this 134-nucleotide small nucleolar RNA. The record is from RefSeq and is a predicted model, not a curated record. NCBI's taxonomy places the organism in Eukaryota, Metazoa, Chordata, Actinopteri, Osmeriformes, Osmeridae.
GCUGAGGCCUAUCCCGACAGACCUUUCUCGGUGGGGCCUAGUCGUUGGAAAUGCCUCAAAGAAUAUACCUGUGGUUUCGCUUUACCCUCAUGGCUACUUCCAUUAGCUGUGUGGGAUAUUACUGCAGAACAACA